UACGUAGGGGGCAAGCGUUAUCCGGAUUUACUGGGUGUAAAGGGGGCGCAGACGGCGAUGCAAGCCAGGAGUGAAAGCCCGGGGCCCAACCCCGGGACUGCUCUUGGAACUGCGUGGCUGGAGUGCAGGAGGGGCAGGCGGAAUUCCUGGUGUAGUGGUGAAAUGCGUAGAUAUUAGGAGGAACACCAGUGGCGAAGGCGGCCUGCUGGACGAUGACUGACGUUGAGGCUCGAAAGCGUGGGGAGCAAACAGG
Molecule: ribosomal RNA, 253 nt
Filed under: uncultured bacterium
Lineage: Bacteria
Description: partial 16S ribosomal RNA
Rfam family: Bacterial small subunit ribosomal RNA
Source: RNAcentral